Molecule: non-coding RNA, 30 nt
Filed under: Mus musculus (house mouse)
Lineage: Eukaryota; Metazoa; Chordata; Mammalia; Rodentia; Muridae
Source: RNAcentral
UCAGCCUUCUUGCCACAUGGGAGCUUCCUU